Long non-coding RNA from Nerophis ophidion (straightnose pipefish), 1476 nucleotides. RefSeq lists it as uncharacterized. The transcript has 2 exons. The record is from RefSeq and is a predicted model, not a curated record. NCBI's taxonomy places the organism in Eukaryota, Metazoa, Chordata, Actinopteri, Syngnathiformes, Syngnathidae.
CACACACACACACACACACACACACACACACACACACAUUCGUACGCACUGAAACAACUUCCGUACCUCACGAAAACAUAUUUAAACAGAUGGAAAAAACUAUCGCAGAACACAGUGUCACGUAGCAACUGGUCUUUACGGUCGUUUGAAUCAACAGGUCAGUUUGGGGGACAAAAGGAGGGUUCAGUUUUUACUGACUUCCCAUCUGACAGUUUAAAUGUUUAUGACCGUUUGAAUCAACAGGACACGCACGCACACACACACACACGCACGCACACACACACACACACACACAUACACACACACACGCACACACACACACACACACACACACACACCAUUACCUCUGCUUUACCAUGUUAUUAGACAUUGGUUUAACUCCAUUUAAGCAUUUAAACGUUAAAAGCAUUGCACUUGUACGACGUUGUAAUACUUUUUUUUUACCAGCCGAUGACGACGAAGUGAAAGACGAUGAACUUUGCUUAAACAGUCUUACAAAGUUGGAAGAUGAUUAUCGAGGUGUGUUUAAACCUUCGAAUUAUUUAAUAUUGUGUGUAUUCAUUAUUUUGUUUUAUAGAGGAUUUGCCGUAAGAUCCUAACGCGAUCGUUUUAACACAAUCGCAGUCUGGUGAGUCAAAUGAUUCUCAUUUUACAAGAAAAAAAACAUGCGGUAUACGAUACAUAUAUACAUAUAUUUACUUACAUCUCCGGCUCGCUGGUCUCCCUUAAAGCUGGCGGGUCCGUCAACGGCCGUUCCAGGCAGAGGAGAAGGCUUGAUUGUGCCAAAGACUCCAGACAUCGAAUCCUUGCUCCGAGGGGAAAUCAUCGAAAACGACGGUGAAUGUCCAACAGGCACCCGCUAUUGGUAACACUGGACAAGUCGGAUAUCCUUGCUUGGAUCCUUUUAAAGUUGCCCGAUAAACUGCUGAGAGUUGAUCUCUCCUCUUGUCCAAAGGUUUUUCGUUCAUUUUUACUUGUAAUACUGCCACUAGGGUUGAUGUAGUAGCUCCACAACAUAACCUUAAAGCCUGUGACUGGAUCCGGUCUAUUUUCCCAAGUCAUGUUUUUGAAGCAGAUUGGUAAAUAAUGCAUCCGUAAUCAAUAACAGAUGGAAUUAAAGUUAUAAAUAUAUACAUGUAUUGUUUUCAACGUUAACCUAUCAGCCCCCCAAUCAUUACCCCUCAAAGACCUCAUUAUAUUUAACACCUUUUUACUUUUUCCCCUAUUUUUUUAUUUUCCGGAAGGAACACUCCUGAAGGAAUAAAUAAAGUACUAUCUAAUCUAAUCUAAUCAAAUCUAUUUUGCUGAUGUGGGUUGACUAGUUCAUAUUUUUAUCAAACCAUAUUCCUAAAUAUUUAAAUACUUGUACCUCUUCUAUAUUUUCACCUUAGAGUUUUUAUUUGGAGCUUGUUUGGUACUUUUGUCUUUGUAAAAUGUAUGACUUUUGUCUUUCCAACAGAGAAUCUUAAACCUCAA